UGGCAUCACUCAACAAAUUCCAGUUGCCUGAACAAUGAUGGUCUACUGCGCAAGGAAUUACUAGUGAUUAUUUCCCCCUGAGAUUUGUCACAGUUUGUUUUGGAGUUCAUUACCAAUAAGAAUAAUAACUUAUUAGAGUCCUGUAUGUCAGAAUCUAUUAAUGCACACAUUUCAUGAAGAGAAGUAGUCACUACUGAUGUAAAAAUAGCAUGUGAUUUCUGCCAAGUUUUCCCAAGGUUGGUAAAGAACUAUCGGACUACUGAUGAAUGAUUUCCUGUUUAACCCAUAGAUACCCAUCUACUCUUAGUAGAUUUCCUAUUUAUUACCAAGGAUCAAAUGUAGAAGGAAAGGAAAGAAGGAUUCAAGUUUUCCCCAAGCAGAUGGAGGUCGAAAUUGGAUUGCUGCUGACUGUUGUCCCUUGUUAUGGCCUGUGGAGAUAUGACAAUUGAGAAGGAACUUAGAGGAAUGCCAAGUAGCAGAGCAUGAAGAGGUGGGGAUGACCCACUCACUGCCUUGGACACUUGAGUGCUGUAGCACUUGGGAAGAUGGAUAAAAAAGGGGACUUUCCUAGAAUAGCCUCAGAGAUACAUUCCCCCAAAUGAUCAAAUACUCAAAAAUUUUGGCUUGCCCUCUGAAAGACACACAGAUCCUGCCCACAUUGAUUAAAGCCAUCUUUCUAUCCAUGCCCGCCUACUUCACUGUCCUUCCCAUUACUGAUGUCAGGACUCUCUCUUAUCUCUCCAGGGAGGCUGAAACCCAACUAUAACUUGGGGAGUAAACUUUGUAGAGUUAUCUGAGGGUCUGAGAGAGAUGAAGUUUCCCUAUCUAGGGUCACAAAGCCUGAAAAUGUCUAAAGCAGAAUUGGAUCCCAGAUUAUCCUUGUUCCAAACUCAGUGUCUCUAUGUCUAAUCAAACAAUGAGUAUUGAUGAAGAA
Molecule: long non-coding RNA, 934 nt
Organism: Monodelphis domestica (gray short-tailed opossum)
Lineage: Eukaryota; Metazoa; Chordata; Mammalia; Didelphimorphia; Didelphidae
Source: RefSeq, a predicted model, not a curated record